GGCCAGAGUGGUGUAGUGGUUUGAGUGUUAAACUAGGAAUCUCGGAGACAAGGGUUCAAAUCCUUGCUUGGCCA
Molecule: non-coding RNA, 74 nt
Organism: Phrynosoma platyrhinos (Desert horned lizard)
Lineage: Eukaryota; Metazoa; Chordata; Lepidosauria; Squamata; Phrynosomatidae
Source: the annotation of a GenBank genome assembly